AUGUUAGCAAAGAAGUGUUGGCGACUGAUCCAAGAUCCGGACUCUUUGUGUGCGCGUGUUCUCAGUGCAAAGUAUUACCCCGAUGGUAACAUUCUUAAUGCUGGCCCUAAGAAAUGCUCUUCUUAUACUUGGCAGAGUAUAGUAUCAGGAAUUCAAACAUUUAAGAGGGGGUUUAUUUGGAGAGUUGGGACAGGUUCUAAUAUCAAUAUUUGGCUGGACCCAUGGAUACCGUCAAGUGCCUCGCGCAAAGUUAUAACGCCGAGGGGGCGGGUUAUGUUGUCCAAAGUUGAAGAGCUCAUAGACCCGCACUCGGGCACAUGGGAUGAAGCCUUAUUGCAGUCCGUGUUUAAUCCAGUCGAUAUGGAAAGGAUACUAAGGAUCCCACUUAAUGUGAGUAUUGUUGACGAUUUUGUGGCAUGGCAGCUUACACGGUCAGGAACCUUCUCAGUCCGUUCAGCAUACCAUGCAGAGUUCAAUCAUCAGUUUGGCUCGCGCGUUUCUCCUGCUGAUGGACAAGGAGGGUCUGUAAUAAAUGGCAUUUGGAAACAUUCGUGGAAACUCCGAGUUCCUGGCAAGAUUAAGCAUUUCGCUUGGAAGGUGCUCAGGGGCAUUCUGCCAUGCUAUGGAGUCCUCGCGAAACGUCAUAUACCGGUAUCUGGUCAAUGCCCGGUUUGCAAAGUUGGGUUUGAAGAUAUUCAGCAUUGCUUAUUCUUGUGUUGUCGUGCUAUGGAAGUAUGGAAAGAAUUAGGCCUGAAUGAGGUGAUC
RNAcentral lists this ribosomal RNA (765 nucleotides) under Triticum aestivum (bread wheat). Its description in RNAcentral is "partial small subunit ribosomal RNA". The record is from RNAcentral. Lineage: Eukaryota; Viridiplantae; Streptophyta; Magnoliopsida; Poales; Poaceae.